GAUAACCGCCCACCUGCUCCCCGCAGCGAAAACAGGUGGACUAAUCAACUCAAAGUGACAAGAAGAUAUGCCGGCAAAGGGCUUCGGCCUUCGGCCUUAUGGAUGAAAACACCAAUUCAUGCUGACAAAACACCAAAGGAUGAGCAGCGCUGACCCAGGAGCACAUCAAGUAAAAUCCUCGGUAUAGAGGAUGGAAGAAUCUGCCAGUCCAACAGUUUUGCGGUACAAAACCAGGCGAAGGAGGAGAUUGACAGAAAACAAGAGCGGACCUCGGACGGGCACUCACUUGGUGGAGAGAGCUCCGGGAUUUAGAGGCGUCAAAACUGCCAUGUAGUUUGUACUCCCUUCUAGCAGAUCAAAGCCAGGCUGUUGACAUUGAGUUAGCUAUGAUGCUGAUGCUAAAGCUGUCUCUAGUUUACCCUAGGAGCCAGAAAAACAAGGUCGUGCCCCUGCUGAAGUCACACAAGGAGGGGAAUAAGUCGUGGGCUGAUCCCCGCUGAAAGCUGCAGGAAUGGACAUCGCUGUGAUUCAUCUCUGUCUCAUCGCCCCUGCUGCUCGGAGCCUCCAUGGACGGCCGCUCUCUGUGACACCCUCUGCACCGGCCAGCUCGCAGCCACUGACAGGAGCCAUGUGCUAAAACGCAGGCAAGUGUGGUGGAAAUGGAAGCAGUCUGUCUUCCUCUGCACAGCUAUGUUUUUUAGGGGCAAGAAUAUAAAGCAUUGUUUCAUCAUUCUUUCUUGUUACAAUUUUGGUCCAAUUUUUCUAGUUUUGACAUGUGAUAUGUAAUAUUUUCCUUAUUAUCAAUCAAUCAAUGAAUACACAUAAAACAACAAUCUACUAAUCCUAUUGACAAAUACUAUUGUCCAAAAAUCUAUUUUGCUAGUAUAUGCCUACACUCACAGAAACAUGAUGCACAUUACUUUUGCUACGACUACUGUACCAAGUUUUAUGAAAUUGCGGAGCCCUUUUUAAAAAAUAAAAUUAUGCACCUUUGACUUUUUAAAAAAUUAAGGUUGCCAACAUUGCACUCACUUCAGGUUUUAUCUCCAAAAUACAGUGGUUUGGAUAAUCUGGCUGAACAGUUUUAAAACUGUUUUUGGCUCAUUUACAAGCCCUCUGAUUUCCCCAUGUUUCCAAGUCUUGGCAAUUACUUUGGUCAUGAGUACAGUGUCGGUAUAACAAGAGGGCAAAACUAAACAAAAAGACCCCUAGUUUCACCAAACUGGAAUUAUCCUUUAAUCCUACUUCAAUUGCAGUAUUAGGCGGACGGCUUGAUCAAUAUGUGCCAGCCAGUUCUCAUUUGCAGUUUUCCCUCACAGACAGAAAUGCCUGUCUUUUAUAAUAGUCACUCAUCCAUGCACAGUGAAAGUAUUAAGAUUCAUGCUAGGAUUCCAAGGAAUUAACCGUGGUGGAUUUAAACACCCUAUCUCUUGUGUGCUUUGUCUUCAUUAACCCAAAGAUCAAUAUGUCAUUGGCUCAAUUAUGGCAGACAUUGAUGACAUUGAGCCCGCCAUCCUAUUUGUUCCGAGUCACUUCAUCCCGCCCUCAACCCCGCGGUAAGCGAUUCACACGGCGACUCAACCCUCAACAUCUGCCACCAUCUUGGGCUUUGCCUCCUGCAAGCCAAUUUCCAUAAUAGUGUUUGUGGAGAAAACAGAGCUUGUUUUGAUUCCGUGCGCAAAGCUCAUGCAAAUGCCCCAUGGGAGAGAGGUUAUAGAGAGUAAAGAGUGGCAAAAGGAAUACCAAAAUAUCAAGAAGACAAACUAAGGGCAUAACUCAGCAAAUGCUGCGGAAUACUGCUGCAGGUGGAUAGAUGCGGGCUCCGGCUGAUAUUAACCAAGCUGAUAAAUUCGAGCAGUUCUUGAUUCCUCAGUCCAGCAGGCUGUCCUACUAGCACCUUGAUGUCAUGCUAACUCAGAGCCCAAAAAGUUGUGCCUUGUUAUGUGAGAGAUUUCUAAUGUGCACUGAAGAAGAGAGAGUCCUUGAUCGAACUGUAUUUUCUAAAGAAAAAGACAAACUACAAUGAAGGACGCCGGGCUGACUGCUUUUUGGAUGAUUUCCUGGUUUUUCAAAGGCUUUUUCUCUUGCUGCUUUUCCUUUUCGUUUUUUUCCCCCCAGUGUAGAACCACUGCAGCCCUAGCUCCAUAAAGAACCAUUCAUAAAGGGCUUUACAUUACCCCAUUACAUUUUUCAAUUUCAUCAUUCGAGGGCUGAGACAGAACGGCUCUGAUGUAGGAUCAGAAAAGUGCCGUACUAGUGCUCCUGAUGAAAUACUGGCUCUGGCUGUUCGGCACUCGUCCGGUGCGUUCCACAAGCUGCUCUUCAUCUGUGGGUCAACGACACGAAACAAAGCGAUUCCGGGGCCUCGUGUGAUGAAGCCACAGGUCAGCGGAGCCGUUUGUUUCCUGGUCAGAGCCGAGAGGAGCAGGUGUCACCGAGCCGCAUUUAAUAGGAUCUCGCCAAGCCGCUUAGACGUAUUCCAUGACUCCAGAGCUGUGUCCCACUUUCUGGAUAAUAUCGCUCGUCAUAUUGAGUAUGUUGAGAAAUAUUUGACGAGGCAGAAGGACGCUUGCUUUAGAUACAAUAAAUACAAGGUCUCCCUCUCGUACCUGCUUUUCAACCUUCAUUUUUAAAAAUACAAGCGGCUUGAGACUGUACUUCACUGCCAUGCAGGAACAACAUCAAAAGACUGACAUGGUACUCCCGGGGGGCACGACCUUAAGCGACACACACACAGAAAAGUAAACACACAUGGCUGCCUGGCCCAUGACCUGCUCAGACUGGUACACCGUGCCGUCUGUCGGUUGUGUGGUCAGCUGCUCGUCACAAAGCCUCUUCACAGCUUUUGUCUUAAUUUAGUUCCUGUCACCUAGCUGGCCGUGAGUCAGCUCUGGCUUGCAGAAGGGCUUAUUCCCUUACUUAGGUUGCCACGGCUCGCAACCCCGGGGAGACAAAAGCCAUUGUAGAGACUCUCUGCCUUCGUCACUCACCGGACUGGUGGCUGGUCGGUCUGGGACCUCCGGCUGCUUUUGUUGGUGGUUAUGUUGGUGAGACAAAGAUCAAGGUUUGGCUGUGGUUAAAUUUAGAAUUUAAAUGUCAUCUGGAUCUUUUUCUUUUCUUCUCCUGAAGCUCUUCACAAAGCCAGAGUGGAUAGUCUGAAAUGUCCUCGGAGCUCAGCAACAACAGGGGUUGUGAUCUGAUUCAAUACCACUCUGAUAUCUAAAGGAGAUUUUUUUUUGUAGAUAUUUUAAGGGAACAAUUUGACAUUUUGGAGAAACGUUCAUUCCCUUUGUUGAUGACAGUUUGAUGUAAAGAUUGUUUCAUGUUUGUUGAGUCAGAAGCCUGAGCUGAGAGCAGGGGGAAAGAGCUAACCUGGCUCGGUCCAAAGAUAAAAUAAUAAAAAUCUGCUGAAAAGUUAAUUAAUUAACACAUCAUAUCUCUUUUGUUUGAAUUGUAUCCAUGACCCGUUGCUUCUUGUUUUUA
Scophthalmus maximus (turbot) is the source of this 3483-nucleotide long non-coding RNA. RefSeq lists it as uncharacterized. NCBI's taxonomy places the organism in Eukaryota, Metazoa, Chordata, Actinopteri, Pleuronectiformes, Scophthalmidae. The transcript is spliced from 5 exons. The record is from RefSeq and is a predicted model, not a curated record.